This 326-nucleotide ribosomal RNA is filed under the name uncultured eukaryote. RNAcentral's name for it is "partial 18S ribosomal RNA". It matches the Rfam family "Eukaryotic small subunit ribosomal RNA", at positions 1470 to 1796 of the family's 1831-position model. The record is from RNAcentral.
CCCUUAGAUGUUCUGGGCCGCACGCGCGCUACACUGAUGCAUUCAACAAGCCUAGCCUUGACCGAGAGGUCCGGGUAAUCUUUGAAACUGCAUCGUGAUGGGGCUAGAUUAUUGCAAUUAUUAAUCUUCAACGAGGAAUGCCUAGUAAGCGUGAUUCAUCAAAUCGCGUUGAUUACGUCCCUGCCCUUUGUACACACCGCCCGUCGCUCCUACCGAUUGAAUGUGUUGGUGAGGAGCUCGGAUUGGCAGCAGUUGGUGGUUCGCCACCGGCUAUUGCUGAGAAGUCCUCCAAACCGCUCCAUUUAGAGGAAGGAGAAGUCGUAACA